CAGAGGGUGCAAGCGUUAAUCGGAAUUACUGGGCGUAAAGCGCGCGUAGGUGGUUCGUUAAGUUGGAUGUGAAAUCCCCGGGCUCAACCNGGGAACUGCAUUCAAAACUGUCGAGCUAGAGUAUGGUAGAGGGUGGUGGAAUUUCCUGUGUAGCGGUGAAAUGCGUAGAUAUAGGAAGGAACACCAGNGGCGAAGGCGACCACCUGGACUGAUAC
This 215-nucleotide ribosomal RNA is filed under the name Pseudomonas sp. Its description in RNAcentral is "partial 16S ribosomal RNA". It matches the Rfam family "Bacterial small subunit ribosomal RNA", at positions 526 to 740 of the family's 1533-position model. Lineage: Bacteria; Pseudomonadati; Pseudomonadota; Gammaproteobacteria; Pseudomonadales; Pseudomonadaceae. The record is from RNAcentral.